Molecule: long non-coding RNA, 384 nt
Filed under: Prunus dulcis (almond)
Lineage: Eukaryota; Viridiplantae; Streptophyta; Magnoliopsida; Rosales; Rosaceae
Description: sRNA ncRNA
Source: RNAcentral
GCGAGGUUUAUGAAUUAACUUUAUUAAACAUGGCUGAAGCACAAACAAGACAUCAAGCUAAUUAAACACACCUUAAAAUUGAAAUUACGUACUGAUAAACUUGGAAGACUAAUUUAUAUCACACAUUUACACUGACUCCAUUAUUCCAUUGUCCACUAUCUCCCUCAAGCUGAAGAUAUGUAUCGACUGCUCGGAGGAGAUUUCUCGAGUAUAUUGGCGAUCGUCGGUGUUUGCUUUGGUGUUGGUGCUGCUUUGGGCGGAGGAGGCGGGGAUUUGGACCUUCGGAUAUAAUUUCCAUUCAAACCUGUCUUGGUCACGAAAAACUUACUUCCAAUGUUUUCUGUACCAAGGAAAGAAGACGUGGGAUGCUUGGAAGGACUUUGG